GCGAUCAUACCAAUGUAUUGCAUCGGAUCCCAUCAGAACUCCGAAGUUAAGCGUGCUUGAACGAGAGCAGUACUAGGAUGGGUGACCCCCUGGGAAGUCCUCGUGUUGCACCU
Molecule: ribosomal RNA, 113 nt
Filed under: Zingiber officinale
Lineage: Eukaryota; Viridiplantae; Streptophyta; Magnoliopsida; Zingiberales; Zingiberaceae
Source: RNAcentral